UCAAGAAUCUAAGCACGGUCCCUGUUCCCUUUGUCUAAUCUAAAACCUAGUCCUCAUCUUUUCCCUCUAGCCGCUACACCUCUCCACGGUUUCUUGUUCUCUUUUUCAAUUUCACCAAAACAAAUCUUUAUUACUCCAUAUCAAAAGUUCAUAAGGGGGUUCUUUGGUUUUUAUGCAAUGCAGCUGGAUAAAUAGCUAAUUGAUUCUUUUUAUUACACAAUGGAGGGGCAAAAGUGAUGUCCUCUUUUAUUAGAUCUGCAUCAACAAGCGCUUUUGAUGCCAUUAAUCUCUUUUGAAAUGUGAUUCCGAAGAUGGCAGAUUAUGGAAUUAUUCGAGCCGCAACAACAAUGACAAAUUAGAGGGCGGAUAUUGAUCAAACUAAGAUGCGGUUGGAGGCUGUGUGGGAGGAGAGAAGUGAAAAGAUGGUGCUGAGUUUGAGUCUCAAGCAAGAUGACAACAACAACAACAACAUACCCAAUGUGAUCCCACAAGUCUCAAGCAAGAUAUUACUAUUGUAAUUGUGUCAUAGACAAAUGAUGUAUUAUGAAUGUUUGAAAUUUUAGCUAUGUAACUAUGUGUAACUUGAAACCUAUUAUGGAAUACAAAAUUAACAAUGCUUGUGUGA
Long non-coding RNA from Lycium barbarum (goji berry), 625 nucleotides. RefSeq lists it as uncharacterized. The record is from RefSeq and is a predicted model, not a curated record. Lineage: Eukaryota; Viridiplantae; Streptophyta; Magnoliopsida; Solanales; Solanaceae. The transcript has 2 exons.